Molecule: ribosomal RNA, 207 nt
Filed under: uncultured bacterium
Lineage: Bacteria
Description: partial 16S ribosomal RNA
Rfam family: Bacterial small subunit ribosomal RNA
Source: RNAcentral
AGUGUAGGCGGCUGCGUAAGUCGGAUGUGAAAGCCCUGGGCUCAACCUGGGAAUGGCAUUCGAAACUGCGCGGCUAGAGUCUGAUAGAGGGAAGUGGAAUUCCAGGUGUAGCGGUGAAAUGCGUAGAUAUCUGGAGGAACAUCAGUGGCGAAGGCGGCUUCCUGGAUCAAGACUGACGCUGAGGCUCGAAAGGCGUGGGAGCAAACA